GACGUAGGGGGCCAGCGUUGCUCGGAAUUACUGGGUGUAAAGGGUUCGUAGGCGGUGCGGCAAGUCGGGAGUGAAAUCUUUGGGCUCAACUCAAAGGCUGCUUCCGAAACUGCUGUGCUCGAGUGUGGGAGAGGCGCGUGGAAUUGCAGGUGUAGCGGUGAAAUGCGUAGAUAUCUGCAGGAACACCCGUGGCGAAAGCGGCGCGCUGGACCAUUACUGACGCUGAGGAACGAAAGCUAGGGGAGCAAACAGG
RNAcentral lists this ribosomal RNA (253 nucleotides) under uncultured bacterium. Its description in RNAcentral is "partial 16S ribosomal RNA". It matches the Rfam family "Bacterial small subunit ribosomal RNA", at positions 524 to 776 of the family's 1533-position model. The record is from RNAcentral.